RNAcentral lists this ribosomal RNA (484 nucleotides) under uncultured bacterium. RNAcentral's name for it is "partial 16S ribosomal RNA". It matches the Rfam family "Bacterial small subunit ribosomal RNA", at positions 29 to 523 of the family's 1533-position model. The record is from RNAcentral.
AGUGAACGCUGGCGGCGUGCUUAACACAUGCAAGUCGAACGAGAACGGAUUAUAGCUUGCUAUAAUCGUCAGCUAAGUGGCGCUCGGGUGAGUAAUGUAUAGGUAAUAUGCCUCUUACUAAGGGAUAACAAAUGGAAACGUUUGCUAAUACCUUAUACUCCUUAUUAACAUAAGUUAAUAAGGGAAAGAUUUAUUGGUAAGAGAUUAGCCUGUAUUGUAUCAGUUAGUUGGUGGGGUAAUGGCUUACCAAGACUAUGACACAUAACUGGUUUGAGAGGAUGAUCAGUCACACUGGAACUGAGACACGGUCCAGACUCCUACGGGAGGCAGCAGUGGGGAAUAUUGCACAAUGGACGAAAGUCUGAUGCAGCAACGCCGCGUGGAGGAUGACACAUUUCGGUGCGUAAACUCCUUUUAUAUGAGAAGAUAAUGACGGCAUUAUAUGAAUAAGCACCGGCUAACUCCGUGCCAGCCGCCGCCGUAA